This 254-nucleotide ribosomal RNA is filed under the name uncultured bacterium. RNAcentral's name for it is "partial 16S ribosomal RNA". It matches the Rfam family "Bacterial small subunit ribosomal RNA", at positions 524 to 776 of the family's 1533-position model. The record is from RNAcentral.
GACGUAGGAGGCGAGCGUUAUCCGGAUUCACUGGGCGUAAAGCGCAUGUAGGCGGAUGUCUAAGUCGUGUGUUAAAGCCCCUGGCUCAACUGGGGGAGGUCAUGCGAGACUGGAUGACUUGAGGGCAACAGAGGCACGUGGAACUCCCGGUGUAGCGGUGGAAUGCGUAGAGAUCGGGAAGAACACCCGUGGCGAAGGCGGCGUGCUGGGCAGUUGCUGACACUGAGGCGCGGACAGCGUGGGGAGCAAACAGG